GAUGAACGCUGGCGGCGUGCCUAAUACAUGCAAGUCGAGCGAACGGACGAGAAGCUUGCUUCUCUGAUGUUAGCGGCGGACGGGUGAGUAACACGUGGAUAACCUACCUAUAAGACUGGGAUAACUUCGGGAAACCGGAGCUAAUACCGGAUAAUAUUUUGAACCGCAUGGUUCAAAAGUGAAAGACGGUCUUGCUGUCACUUAUAGAUGGAUCCGCGCUGCAUUAGCUAGUUGGUAAGGUAACGGCUUACCAAGGCAACGAUGCAUAGCCGACCUGAGAGGGUGAUCGGCCACACUGGAACUAAGACACGGUCCAGACUCCUACGGGAGGCAGCAGUAGGGAAUCUUCCGCAAUGGGCGAAAGCCUGACGGAGCAACGCCGCGUGAGUGAUGAAGGUCUUCGGAUCGUAAAACCCUGUUAUUAGGGAAGAACAUAUGUGUAAGUAACUGUGCACAUCUUGACGGUACCUAAUCAGAAAGCCACGGCUAACUACGUG
RNAcentral lists this ribosomal RNA (497 nucleotides) under uncultured bacterium. Its description in RNAcentral is "partial 16S ribosomal RNA". It matches the Rfam family "Bacterial small subunit ribosomal RNA", at positions 28 to 507 of the family's 1533-position model. The record is from RNAcentral.